AGGGCACCACCAGGAGUGGAGCCUGCGGCUUAAUUUGACUCAACACGGGAAAACUUACCCGGCCCGGACACUAGAAGGAUUGACAGAUUGGGAGCUCUUUCUUGAUUUAGUGGGUGGUGGUGCAUGGCCGUUCUUAGUUGGUGGAGCGAUUUGUCUGGUUAAUUCCGAUAACGAACGAGACUCUAGCCUACUAAAUAGACCGGGGAGUCUUAGCCUCCCCGGGACUUCUUAGAGGGACAAACGGCGAGUAAGCCGAACGAGAGAGAGCAAUAACAGGUCUGCGAUGCCCUUAGAUGUCCGGGGCCGCACGCGCGCUACACUGAAGUGAUCAGCGUGCAUGUGUUCCCUCUCCGACAGGAGAGGGUAACCCAAGGAACCUUCUUCGUGAUAGGGAUUGGGCAUUGUAAUUAUUGCCCAUGAACGAGGAAUUCCUAGUAGGCGCGAGUCAUUAGCUUGCGUUGAUUACGUCCCUGCCCUUUGUACACACCGCCCGUCGCUACUACCGAUUGAAUGGUUUAG
RNAcentral lists this ribosomal RNA (519 nucleotides) under uncultured eukaryote. RNAcentral's name for it is "SSU rRNA". It matches the Rfam family "Eukaryotic small subunit ribosomal RNA", at positions 1161 to 1701 of the family's 1831-position model. The record is from RNAcentral.